This 498-nucleotide ribosomal RNA is filed under the name uncultured bacterium. RNAcentral's name for it is "partial 16S ribosomal RNA". It matches the Rfam family "Bacterial small subunit ribosomal RNA", at positions 29 to 523 of the family's 1533-position model. The record is from RNAcentral.
AUUGAACGCUGGCGGCAUGCUUUACACAUGCAAGUCGAACGGUAACGCGGGGCAACCUGGCGACGAGUGGCGAACGGGUGAGUAAUGCAUCGGAACGUGCCCGGUAGUGGGGGAUAACUGCUCGAAAGAGCAGCUAAUACCGCAUACGACCUGAGGGUGAAAGGGGGGGAUCGCAAGACCUCUCGCUAUUGGAGCGGCCGAUGUCGGAUUAGCUAGUUGGUGGGGUAAGGGCCCACCAAGGCGACGAUCCGUAGCCGGUCUGAGAGGACGACCAGCCACACUGGGACUGAGACACGGCCCAGACUCCUACGGGAGGCAGCAGUGGGGAAUUUUGGACAAUGGACGCAAGUCUGAUCCAGCCAUGCCGCGUGCGGGAAGAAGGCCUUCGGGUUGUAAACCGCUUUUGUCAGAGAAGAAAUCUUCUGGGUUAAUACCUCGGGAGGAUGACGGUAUCUGAAGAAUAAGCACCGGCUAACUACGUGUCAGCAGCCGCAGUAA